AACGGAUUAUUCUUUAUAGCUUGCUAUAGAGAAUAGUUAGUGGCAGACGGGUGAGUAAUGCAUAGGAAUCUACCUAGUAGUAUGGGAUAGCCACUAGAAAUGGUGGGUAAUACUGUAUAAUCCCUGCGGGGGAAAGAUUUAUCGCUAUUAGAUGAGCCUAUGUUAGAUUAGCUAGUUGGUAGGGUAAAGGCCUACCAAGGCGAUGAUCUAUAGCUGGUCUGAGAGGAUGAUCAGCCACACUGGAACUGAGAUACGGUCCAGACUCCUACGGGAGGCAGCAGUGGGGAAUAUUGGACAAUGGGCGCAAGCCUGAUCCAGCUAUGCCGCGUGAGUGAGGAAGGCCUUAGGGUUGUAAAACUCUUUCAGUAGGGAAGAUAAUGACGGUACCUACAGAAGAAGUCCCGGCAAACUCCGUGCCAGCAGCCGCGGUAAUACGGAGGGGGCAAGCGUUGUUCGGAAUUAUUGGGCGUAAAGGGCAUGUAGGCGGUUCGGUAAGUUAAAGGUGAAAUGCCAGGGCUUAACCCUGGAGCUGCUUUUAWWACUGCC
RNAcentral lists this ribosomal RNA (546 nucleotides) under Anaplasma phagocytophilum. RNAcentral's name for it is "bacterial SSU rRNA". The record is from RNAcentral. Lineage: Bacteria; Pseudomonadati; Pseudomonadota; Alphaproteobacteria; Rickettsiales; Anaplasmataceae.